AGUGUAGUGACUUUAUGCUUCUUACAAUCAGGUAUAUUUUGAAAUAGUGGAGGGCUCAAACAUCACGGCAGAAAAACUAUGCAAGUACUUGCAAGAACAUGGCGUGCUUAUGAUGCCAGAGAGCUCGUCGAGGAUUAGAGUUGUGCUCCACCACCAAAUAUCAGGUACUGAUGUGCAGUAUACAUUGUCAUGCAUUCAGCAAGCUGUAACUGGAGUCCAUGAUUGCAACGGCGACUUGAAAGAAAUUUCUGUCUAAAAUGAUUUAGUGUUUGUGUAUGCCAUGCUCUAAAUUUCAAGGACAUAAAACUUACUGAAUCACCCUUGAGUCUCUCUGAGUGAGACUUUUUCAGUAAGAAACUGCAUUGUAUGUUGAAUGUUUUAGAAUAAUUAUGGUUUGCCUGGUUUUGGCUUUUGUUACUGUGAAACUGAAUGAAAUGUCGAAUGCUGCUUCUACA
Vitis riparia (riverbank grape) is the source of this 455-nucleotide long non-coding RNA. RefSeq lists it as uncharacterized. The record is from RefSeq and is a predicted model, not a curated record. Lineage: Eukaryota; Viridiplantae; Streptophyta; Magnoliopsida; Vitales; Vitaceae. The transcript is spliced from 3 exons.